This 255-nucleotide ribosomal RNA is filed under the name uncultured bacterium. RNAcentral's name for it is "partial 16S ribosomal RNA". It matches the Rfam family "Bacterial small subunit ribosomal RNA", at positions 15 to 266 of the family's 1533-position model. The record is from RNAcentral.
GAUCUGGCUCAGGAUGAACGCUAGCGACAGGCUUAACACAUGCAAGUCGAGGGGCAGCACGGUGUAGCAAUACACUGGUGGCGACCGGCGCACGGGUGAGUAACACGUGUGCAACCAACCCCGUACCGGGAGAUAACCCGCGGAAACGUGGACUAACAUCCCAUAAUACUGGAGGAUCGCAUGAUCUUUCAUUUAAAAUUCCGGUGGUACGGGACGGGCACGCGCGACAUUAGGUAGUUGGCGGGGUAACGGCCC